CAAAUGUCUUUUUUCUGUGAAGAGUGCGUGUGUAGCAGCGUUGGAAAAUGGAAAAAUGGGAAAAAUAUCCGGAAAAAUAGCAAAGUAAGUACAUUAUACACUAAUUAGGAUAUAGUUAAACGAUGUGUAUAAGAAAUUAAGUUGCAAUUUAUAUAAUUGUACGCGAAAAUAGAAAUUUUCUUUUUUACAGGUUACGUGUUUCGACAAGUCCAGGUGAGAGAUUUUUUUCGAAUAAAAGCAGGUAAAAAGAGAAGUAUUUUAAUUAAAGAGCGCUCUUCUGUAAAUAGUAGUAGUAGUAAUAGCAGUAGUAGUAGCAGUAGUAUGUAGUAGAAGUAGUCGGGGUAGUAGUAGUAAAUAUUAUGUAUGUAAUAUUUGACAAAUUUUUCUAUUAUUCCAUUAUUAUUCAUUGAUUUGUCUUUUCAUGCUACAUGUUCCCGGACAACUUCUAUUCUCCGGACUCUCCCAGGCUCCCCAAAAAGAGUGUCCAUGGACAACCCAAUGGAUUGUCAAUGGAUUCGUCCCAUGUGUCCCAUGGACUUUUCUUGUUUUUUUCUUAUAUUCUGUAAUAUUCUUACAGCUACAUGUUCCCGGCGUUCCCGGACAACUAUCUUACGGAUACUCCCACGUUACAAAAGCUCGCCAAAGAGAACUAUCAGCAUUUAUGACGAAGGGAAUGGAGAAAAGAAAAGACCGUGCCUUGGAAAACAGAAGUAGGAGAGCAUCCCGUGUCUUGGAAAACAGAAAUUGCAGAGCAUCCCGUGUCUUGGAAUACAGGAGUUGCAGAACAUCUCAAAGACCCAGGACGUCAGAGUUCAACCGCCGAAGGACAAAGUAUCAUACAUGUAAGAUUUAUAUAUAUAAUUUUUAAAUAAAAAAAUAAAAAAUUAA
This is a long non-coding RNA of Lutzomyia longipalpis, 888 nucleotides long. RefSeq lists it as uncharacterized. The transcript has 2 exons. NCBI's taxonomy places the organism in Eukaryota, Metazoa, Arthropoda, Insecta, Diptera, Psychodidae. The record is from RefSeq and is a predicted model, not a curated record.